CCAACCGACAUAAUACAAAACUUGAGGCAUCCGGCCGGAGAGAGACUCCACCAACACACCAAAUCAAAAACAUAUCCCCCACAAUAUCCGAAACUGAACCACACGCGCCCUCUAAUCACCUGUGGAAUCUCUCCAAAUAUUCGCAAAACCCAACUCCCCGCCACAUAAUCCCCCAUAAGCUCCACCCUCACGUGAACCCCACGCUCGCUCUCCCUAGUAUACUCGCCUUUCCAUUGGUCCGUAAGACGUCACUCCCUAACAUGGCGCGUGAGUCAAUCACCCCCUCACCCGUGCUAUGAAACUUCCCGGGCACGACUCUUUUGGUGCACCCACACGCUUCGUCCACUUCACCGCUCCCUCACGAACCCCUCCCUCGCCGUACACCUGUAAGAUAAGGAUACAGAGAGAGAGAAGAGAGAGAAACUUGGUGAGAGAGAGACUGUGAAGCGUUUUAGAGAGAGAAACUAGAGAGAGAAGGAGCGAGAUCUGGUCGAAGAGAAAGGCAAACGAAGCUCGAAAAGCUCAAAAAGCUCGAAGCUUCCCCCUACUGUUGGUUGUUGGUGUUGUUGAUGUUGUAAGCCCUAACUUUCUCUCUCUGUUUUGUUGUCUUUUGGUGGGAAACCCUAAUUUGAUUUUUGUGUCUGUAUGUGGGUGUGUGAGAUUUGGGGGAAAUACUAGGGUUUUGUCAAAUUUUUUUUUUUGUUCUCUUUUGUGGAGAGAGGGAAAGCGGAAAAAAAACCUGGGAAUCUUGGAUCUUUGCGAGAGGGGAAAAAGUGGGGGUUAGGGUUUUGGGAGGUACAUGUAUGGCUUCGGAGCCUAUAGUAGGAGAAGGUGAUGGAGCCAGAGAGAAGCAGAGGUACACGGAGAGCAAGGUCUAUACUCGAAAGGCUUUCAAAGGCCCCAAGAAGAAGAGCAUCGACAACAACACCACCAAACCCACAGAGGCCAACCCAACAGCCACAACCGCCACCGCCACAACCACUACCGCCGUAACCGCCCCCUCCGUCACCACAACCACCACCGCCGACGACGACAAUAACAUCAACAAGAACGACAACCACCACGACGAGAAAGACAACAACAUCAACCAGAACGACAACAAGAAGAGCGACAAGCAGGAUAACAACAAGAAGAAUGAUGAGAAUGAGAAUUCAUCCCAGCCUCCUCCUCCUCAGACUAUUGCGUCUGAGGAGGGGAAUUCCGCUCAGCAGCAGCAGCUCCUUCCGCCGCCUGAUGCUGCUGCCUCUGGCGAUUCCUCCAGCCUGAACCGGCAAGAGGUGGCUGUGGCAGUGGUGGAACCUGAAAGUCGGGAUCCACCUGUGGAAAAUGGGCUGGCGAAGGAGGGGCCGGAGAACCGAAUGAAGAUUAAUUUGGCUUCAAGGUCGAAGCAGGAGAUGCGUGAGCUUCGGAGGAAGCUUGAGAGUGAGCUUGAUAUGGUGCGGAGUUUGGUGAAGAGGAUUGAGGCCAAACAGGGGCAGAUUGGUGGGUUUAAUCACUCCCUUGUAACGAAUGAGGGGGUCAAUAAUAGUGGUGCAGUGCUGAGACGGGUUCACUCUGAGGUUGCUUCGGUUGGUGUUCCCCGUGAAGUUACCAGGCCUUUGCAUCAGCUGAGUAUAUCAGUGUUGGAGAAUAGUCAGGGAAUGAGUGAUAUUGUGGAGAAAGAGAAGAGAACCCCCAAGGCGAACCAGUUCUAUCAUAAUUCUGAGUUUUUGCUGGCUAAGGAUAAGUUUCCGCCUGCUGAGAGUAAUAAGAAGACGAAAUUGAAUGGGAAGAAGCAUGGUGGAGGAGAUUUAGGGCAAGGGUAUGGCAUGGGAAGCAAAUUUUUCAAGAGUUGCAGUUCUUUGCUUGAAAAAUUGAUGAAACACAAGCAUGGUUGGGUGUUUAAUGAACCUGUUGAUGCUGCCAAGCUUGGUUUGCACGAUUAUCAUAUCAUUAUCAAGCACCCAAUGGACUUGGGUACCAUUAAGUCGAGGCUGAACAAGAAUUGGUACAAAUCUCCGAAAGAAUUUGCAGAGGAUGUGAGACUUACAUUUCACAAUGCCAUGACUUAUAACCCACAAGGGCAGGAUGUUCAUGUUAUGGCAGAGCAGCUAUCCAGGAUAUUUGAGGACAGGUGGGCUAUCAUAGAGUCAGAUUAUAAUCGUGAGAUGAGAUUUGGAUAUGAUUAUGGGGCUAGUCUUCCUACACCUACAUCAAGAAAGGCACCUCCACUGCCACCACCUCCUCUUGACAUGCGAAGGGUUUUGGACAGGUCUGAGUCUAUCUCUCAUCAUGUUGAUCCCAAGCCAAAGCCCAUGACUAUUACUCCUAGAACCCCCGCUCCAAAGAAGCCCAAGGCUAAAGAUCCUCAUAAAAGGGACAUGACUUAUGAGGAAAAACAAAAGCUUAGCACAAGCCUCCAGAGUCUACCUUCAGAGAAGCUGGAUUCCAUUGUACAGAUUAUUAAGAGGAGGAAUUCUGAGCUAUUCCAGCAUGAUGAUGAAAUUGAAGUGGACAUUGAUAGCGUUGAUGUUGAGACCCUGUGGGAGCUUGAUAGGUUUGUAACCAACUACAAGAAGAGUUUGAGCAAACACAAGCGGAAAGCUGAAAUGGCUAUGCAAGCCAGAGCAGAAACUGAGCAGAAUGUCCAGCAGCAGACCCAGGACCCCAUUGUGGCAGAGGUGCCCAAAGAAACCAAAACAGAUGAAAAGAUUAUUUCUUCUUCAACACCCAUUCAAGGGGACAACCAGGGUGAUAAUAGGAGUAGGUCAAGUAGUUCAAGCAGCUCUAGCAGUGAUUCUGGAUCUUCCUCAAGUGACUCAGAUAGUGAUAGUUCGUCAGCAUCUGGAUCAGAUGCGGGGUCGCCGAGGACUUAACGAUUUAAUUUUGAGGCGUUGAUGGAGGGCUGGGAACACAAUUACAUUGUUGAGGUGCAGAGAAUAGAACUUGAAGAUGUGGUAUCUUUCAGAUGUCUGAAAAUUAGGGUAGAAGGUGAUUUUGCUGCAUGGUGAUUGGAAGCUUUUCAGACGAUGGAUUUGAAUCUACAAUUGGUGUAUAGUGGAAAUUUUCUCCAUGGGCUCCAACCAUCCUGCAAGUAUAGAAUGGGGUUGUCACUUUUGGGUUAAUUGGUUCCUCAAUGCCUGCAAGCGGCCCCUAUUGGUCUGGUCAGAAUCAGAAUUUGUAUAAUAUUGGUAGAAUGUGGUGAUAAUUAGUUUCUCAUAGCACGUGUACAUUUUGCUAAGUACUGCUACCCGUCUAAAUUCCGGUGACUUGGUUUCGGUUUCGUGCUGACAGAUUCAGGAUGCUUUGGUUUUACACAAUAGAUAGAUAGUCUGUAAUCCAAGUUGAUUGAGUCAAAUUGCUCCAUAUGAAUUUUCUUGUGUUUUCAUGAAAUGGAUAUGUUGGUAGAUUUGUAUGCACUAGUAGUAGUCUCAAUCUCAACAAGAUCAGCUUAAUUGUACUCUGAAUUGCCGGAGACGAAACUCGAUUUUAUGCUCUGUUUUGGUUGGAAAAAAA
This is an RNA transcript of Prunus mume (Japanese apricot), 3495 nucleotides long. It is a transcript of the gene named global transcription factor group E4, with no coding region annotated. The record is from RefSeq and is a predicted model, not a curated record. Lineage: Eukaryota; Viridiplantae; Streptophyta; Magnoliopsida; Rosales; Rosaceae.